CGGGCCGCCCCAUCCCUACAGGGCUCCUCGCACCUACCCCAGCAACUCAAAUUCACCACCUCGGACUCCUGCGACCGCAUCAAAGACGAAUUUCAGCUACUGCAAGCUCAGUACCACACCUCAAGCUCGAAUGUGACAAGUUGGCCAGUGAGAAGUCAGAGAUGCAGCGUCACUAUGUGAUUACUACGAGAUGUCCUACGGCUUGAACAUCGAGAUGCACAAACAGCUGAGAUCGUCAAAAGGCUGAACGGGAUUUGUGCCCAGGUCCUGCCCUACCUCUCCCAAGACACCAGCAGCAGGUCUUGGGAGCCAUUGAGAGGGCCAAGCAGGUCACCGCUCCCGAGCUGAACUCUAUCAUCCGCAGCUCCAAGCCCACCAGCUGUCCCAGCUGCAGGCCCUGGCCCUGCCCUUGACCCCACUACCCGUGGGGCUGCAGCCGCCUUCGCUGCCGGCGGUCAGCGCAGGCACCGGCCUCCUCUCGCUGUCCGCGCUGGGUUCCCAGGCCCACCUCUCCAAGGAAGACAAGAACGG
Molecule: long non-coding RNA, 531 nt
Filed under: Homo sapiens (human)
Lineage: Eukaryota; Metazoa; Chordata; Mammalia; Primates; Hominidae
Description: non-protein coding lnc-AES-1:4
Source: RNAcentral